RNAcentral lists this ribosomal RNA (517 nucleotides) under uncultured bacterium. RNAcentral describes it as "partial 16S ribosomal RNA". It matches the Rfam family "Bacterial small subunit ribosomal RNA", at positions 355 to 887 of the family's 1533-position model. The record is from RNAcentral.
UGGGGAAUAUUGCGCAAUGGGGGGAACCCUGACGCAGCAACGCCGCGUGAAGGAUGAAGGCUUUCGGGUUGUAAACUUCUUUGAUGAGGGACGAAAGAAAUGACGGUACCUCAAAAACAAGCCACGGCUAACUACGUGCCAGCAGCCGCGGUAAUACGUAGGUGGCGAGCGUUGUCCGGAGUUACUGGGUGUAAAGGGCGUGUAGGCGGGGAUGCAAGUCAGAUGUGAAAUGCCGGGGCUUAACUCCGGAGCUGCAUCUGAAACUGUGUUUCUUGAGUGUCGGAGAGGAAAGCGGAAUUCCCAGUGUAGCGGUGAAAUGCGUAGAUAUUGGGAGGAACACCAGUGGCGAAGGCGGCUUUCUGGACGAUAACUGACGCUGAGGCACGAAAGCGUGGGGAGCAAACAGGAUUAGAUACCCUGGUAGUCCACGCCCUAAACGAUGUCAACUAGUUGUUGGGGAUUCAUUUCCUUAGUAACGUAGCUAACGCGUGAAGUUGACCGCCUGGGGAGUACGGUC